UUGGGAAUCUAUAAUAUGUUACUAUUAUCUUCCCCCUAGUUGUAUUAACCAAGGAAUUGGAAGAAUUUGGAUUAAGGACAAUUUGACAAAUUUCUAUUCUGGAAAAUCUGACCAAGCUUGAUCAGACAGGUUAACAGUUGUAACUUUGGCUUCAGCUCAUUAAGCGACUCCUGCCAUCUUUUUAAUCCUUGUGGGGCAUGGUUUGGAUUUCCUAGGCUUCCACCUUGCACGCUGCAGUUCAUGUAGAAAUGAAAAGGAACAAACAGUAUGCAUGGAAAUAAGAAGGAUGAACUAUAUACAGUUGUACAAGUUACUGUUUCCAGCAAUAACACCCUAUAAGAAUCCUUGCUCAACAUGAAGUCAUUACAGCUUCUAAUAUGAAUGUGUUUUCAUUUUCACAAUAAGAAAUACCAUUGCAUCUUCCCACAUCACCAAAAGAUAACUAAAACAUGCAGACUCAGAUUGUAAAUCAAGGUCAUUUUGUCGAUCUUGAGGUAUGUCAUUCCACCCUAACUUUACCAGAGCAGAUUAUCCUCAGUUAGACAAGUACCGCUAACUACCAGAAAUUCCAUUUGUAUCUAAGCAUGUAUAUCAAACACGCCACCCUGGAACGUUAUAUUUGAUAUAGACAGCCAUAAGAUAGCUUCAGAUCCUUUGUAGGGCAAUGAUAAGUUAUCAAAAACUACCUACAUCAAAGUUUCAAUGGCAGCAUGAAUAGAACUUCCACGAGUAGAACCUUCACGCUGAAACAGUGAGUGAGGCCCAGUCCAUAUAGAUUUAUGGUUGUCAGGAAACAGAGUUCUGCACAGACUCAGAAGCAUUGGAUUUUCAGAAUCAAACUUCUCAAACAUUAUAGCCUUGUGUUUUUCUUGUGAUUCCUUAUUCUUAUUUUGCUCAACCGUUGGAGUUACUUCCUCAUGCUGCCCUAUAGCAUGUCCCUUCGCAGGAUGUGUUUGGCCCACCGCACCUGCAUUCUCUGCUAGUCCAGGUUGAGAUUGUUGAUUGGGCUCCUCUCCUGAUCUAUCAGCAAACUCUGAUUGCUCUGACAUUUCAACCUUCCCUUUCUUUUGAAUCUCUAUCUCAUUCUCCUCCUCUUCCUCUUCAUCAUCGUCUUCCUCUGCCUCCUCAUGCUUCUCCUUAACAGGGCUCUACAGAUGCUCACUAUCCCCCAUUUUCACCCGUCCCUUUUCUUCCACCUCAGCAUCUGCAUCUGGAUCUAUUGAUUUGCCCAUAUUUGAUGAUGAAUCUUCAUCUCCUGGACUUUCUAUAAGUGAACAUCCCUUCAAAAGUGUGUGUGUGUGUGUGUGUGAGAUUCAUGCAAAUUUGCAGCACUCUCUUGGUAGACAUUACUGAAAUCCUGCAGUGUUAUGCCUUCCUGGUUUUAUAUCAAGUGUCUGAUGAACUUAUUAUUUACAUUUUUAUGUGUUCUAUUAUUAACACGUUCUUAAUUACCAGGAUCAAGAUCCCAGACCCUUAGUUUUCCUUCUGCUGAGGUGAUUUUUGGUUUCAAUUGCACUGUCAGAAAAAUAAUGUUAAUAAAUAAACAAACUCUAAACAUUUUUCUGCUGUGUUUCAUUUUUUAGAGGCGAUUGGCUGUUAGAGCUACUGCAGUAUCACCUAGUUUUGGGUCCCCAUCCUCACUUUCUGAGUCCAGCCACUGGGCAUCAACUAGCAAACGGCCCUUUGCUUUCUACAAUAGCAACUUUCCAAGCCGACGCCCUUACAUGUCAAAAGCUGUUUACCCUUUAGUAUUCCGCAACCCUGUGUCAGAUUGUGAAACCUUUAAUGAUGCUGAUAUCAGCAAUAUUGGUAGGUUGACACCAGGUGAGAAUCUGACAUCACCAUCUUGCUGGCCUGAUAACAGUCCAGGUGUUGAGUAUAAGUUCCACAAAACCAUCACUGAACUUCAAAAGUUGGAGACAUCACCAGACCACAGUGCAAGCUCCAGAAGAGAGGGAUUUCGGUGGAGCAGUGCCAGUAGUUAUGAUUUAGGGCUUGAUGGUGACAGGUUUGACAUGGCAGAGCAUAUGGAUAUGGAGAGUCUGAGGUCACCUAACAGUGCUGUGCCAGACCAGAAGUGUGGAGUUUGUGGAAAGCUUUUGUGGCAGAAGUCUCCGUGCAGUUCACAUCGAAUCAUGAGAGGUGGCGACAUGCCUAUUGCUGGGGUGCUACCCUGCAGUCAUGUGUUCCAUGCUGAAUGCUUAGAACAAGUGACUCCAAAGACCCAGAUACAUGACCCUCCUUGCCCCUUGUGCUUGAAAACCAUAGGAGCAGUCGAAGAAUCCCCGUCAGUCUCAGAGCCCUUGCAGGUGGCCCUAAGAUCCAUACGGAGAAACAGCGGGAUGGUGAUAUCUGAAGCCCAUGGGAGUCACAUUAAUAGUGAAAACUGUACUCCCCUCAAGGGCAGGUUGAGGAAAAACUGGCUUCGAACAGUACCACGGCAGAAUGAUAAUGGUUCUUCAUUAACAACCCGCCUUAAAAGGCGUUUCACAUUGAGGGGGAAGGUUGGUAAAGAUAUUUUCAGUAAUAAGUUAUUUCACAAAAUGGGUUCAUCUUCUAGUGGGGAACCAAUUUGACGCCAAAUGUUUAUGCAGUAGUCUCAUGUAUGUAUCCUUGUGCAAGAAGAUUUGAAUAUUGAAUCCUUGGUGAACCCUUUCUCUUCAAGAUAUUUUCUCAGCUUAUUUGGGUUCACUUCUCUGAGACAUCAUUAAGAACCCUUAUGUAUGCAUUUAUUCUAUUAUUAUUAUUAUUAUUAU
This 2756-nucleotide unclassified non-coding RNA is filed under the name Hevea brasiliensis (rubber tree). Lineage: Eukaryota; Viridiplantae; Streptophyta; Magnoliopsida; Malpighiales; Euphorbiaceae. The record is from RNAcentral.